Molecule: ribosomal RNA, 253 nt
Filed under: uncultured bacterium
Lineage: Bacteria
Description: partial 16S ribosomal RNA
Rfam family: Bacterial small subunit ribosomal RNA
Source: RNAcentral
UACAGAGGGGGCAAGCGUUAUUCGGAAUUAUUGGGCGUAAAAGGCGCGUAGGCGGCUUUGCAAGUGACGGGUGAAAUCCCUCGGCUUAACCGAGGAACUGCCUGUCAAACUGCAUGGCUUGAGACCGGGAGAGGUGAGUGGAAUUCCCAGUGUAGCGGUGAAAUGCGUAGAUAUUGGGAGGAACACCAGUGGCGAAGGCGGCUCACUGGACCGGUACUGACGCUGAUGCGCGAAAGCGUGGGGAGCAAACAGG